UCAAAGUGCAUAGAAUUAUUGCUGCGGUUAAAAAGCUCGUAGUUGGAUCUGUGCCAUAGGACGUGGUCCACCUUCGGGUGCGUACUACGCUCCUAGGCUUUUUGCUGGUUUUCCCGUCGUAGCCUUCACUGGUUGCGGCGGGUGGCUGGCGAGUUUACUUUGAGAAAAUCAGAGUGCUCAAUACAGGCGUAUCGCUUGAAUGAUUGUGCAUGGAAUAAUAGAAAAGGAUUUCGGUCCUCUUUUAUUGGUUUUGUGGACUGAGAUAAUGGUUAACAGGGACAAACGGGGGCAUUCGUAUCUCUGCGUGAGAGGUGAAAUUCUUGGACCGUAGAGAGACGCCCUACUG
Molecule: ribosomal RNA, 346 nt
Filed under: Nematoda environmental sample
Lineage: Eukaryota; Metazoa; Nematoda
Description: SSU rRNA
Rfam family: Eukaryotic small subunit ribosomal RNA
Source: RNAcentral